Molecule: long non-coding RNA, 303 nt
Filed under: Monodelphis domestica (gray short-tailed opossum)
Lineage: Eukaryota; Metazoa; Chordata; Mammalia; Didelphimorphia; Didelphidae
Description: lncRNA (ENSMODG00000030686.2)
Source: RNAcentral
AUGCCGGCUGAGUUCCCGCUCCCCCGCCUCUGCUGGCCACAGACGAGUAAUUACUUAGGAAAAGUUGACCGAUGGCUUGAUGUGAAGAGCUCUUGUGGUUCGCAAGGCGUGGAGCCGGGGACGUCGCGCCCACGUCCCAUGGUGCUCGGCUCUAGGGGAAAAAGGCUGCUCUCGAUGAUCUGUGGCAAAUGUUUCAUCUCUGGCUGGCUCCCUACUGCCACUCAGCACGCCUCCGGAGCUCCUCCCUUUAUCAAAGAGGGGUUCCCGCUGAGAGAUUGCGGCUCCCUUUUCAUUUCAGCCUGA